RNAcentral lists this ribosomal RNA (468 nucleotides) under uncultured bacterium. Its description in RNAcentral is "partial 16S ribosomal RNA". It matches the Rfam family "Bacterial small subunit ribosomal RNA", at positions 28 to 523 of the family's 1533-position model. The record is from RNAcentral.
GAUGAACGCUGGCGGCGUGCCUAACACAUGCAAGUCGAGCGAUUUACUUCGGUAAAGAGCGGCGGACGGGUGAGUAACGCGUGGGUAACCUGCCCUGUACACACGGAUAACAUACCGAAAGGUAUGCUAAUACGGGAUAAUAUGCUUUAGUCGCAUGGCUGAAGUAUCAAAGCUCCGGCGGUACAGGAUGGACCCGCGUCUGAUUAGCUAGUUGGUAAGGUAACGGCUUACCAAGGCGACGAUCAGUAGCCGACCUGAGAGGGUGAUCGGCCACAGUGGGACUGAGACACGGUCCAAACUCCUGCGGGAGGCAGCAGUGGGGAAUAUUGCACAAUGGGCGAAAGCCUGAUGCAGCAACGCCGCGUGAGCGAUGAAGGCCUUCGGGUCGUAAAGCUCUGUCCUCAAGGAAGAUAAUGACGGUACUUGAGGAGGAAGCCCCGGCUAACUACGUGCCAGCCGCCGCAGUAA